This 253-nucleotide ribosomal RNA is filed under the name uncultured bacterium. RNAcentral describes it as "partial 16S ribosomal RNA". It matches the Rfam family "Bacterial small subunit ribosomal RNA", at positions 524 to 776 of the family's 1533-position model. The record is from RNAcentral.
UACGUAGGGUGCGAGCGUUAAUCGGAAUUACUGGGCGUAAAGCGUGCGCAGGCGGUUCGUUGUGUCGGCGGGGAAAGCCCCGGGCUUAACCUGGGAAUGGCCGUCGAAACUGGCGAACUGGAGUGUGGCAGAGGGGGGUGGAAUUCCGCGUGUAGCAGUGAAAUGCGUAGAGAUGCGGAGGAACCCCGAUGGCGAAGGCAGCCCCCUGGGCUGACACUGACGCUCAGGCACGAAAGCGUGGGGAGCAAACAGG